Molecule: ribosomal RNA, 497 nt
Filed under: uncultured bacterium
Lineage: Bacteria
Description: partial 16S ribosomal RNA
Rfam family: Bacterial small subunit ribosomal RNA
Source: RNAcentral
GAUGAACGCUGGCGGCGUGCCUAAUACAUGCAAGUCGAGCGAACAGACGAGGAGCUUGCUCCUCUGACGUUAGCGGCGGACGGGUGAGUAACACGUGGAUACCCUACCUAUAAGACUGGGAUAACUUCGGGAAACCGGAGCUAAUACCGGAUAAUAUAUUGAACCGCAUGGUUCAAUAGUGAAAGACGGUUUUGCUGUCACUUAUAGAUGGAUCCGCGCCGCAUUAGCUAGUUGGUAAGGUAACGGCUUACCAAGGCAACGAGGCGUAGCCGACCUGAGAGGGUGAUCGGCCACACUGGAACUGGGACACGGUCCUGACUCCUACGGGAGGCAGCAGUAGGGAAUCGUCCGCAAUGGGCGAAAGCCUGACGGAGCAACGCCGCGUGAGUGAUGAAGGUGUUCGGAUCGUAAUACUCUGUUAUUAGGGAAGAACAAAUUUGUAAGUAACUAUGCACGUCUUGACGGUACCUAAUCAGAAAGCCACGGCUAACUACGUG